CUGGCGGCGUGCCUAACACAUGCAAGUCGAGCGAGGAGAUCCUUCGGGAUGAUCCUAGCGGCGACGGGUGAGUAACACGUGGGCAACCUGCCUCAUAGAGAGGAAUAGCCUUCCGAAAGGGAGAUUAAUACCUCAUAACAUUGCAGUUUCGCAUGAAACAGCAAUUAAAGGAGCAAUCCGCUAUGAGAUGGGGCCCGCGGCGCAUUAGCUAGUUGGUGAGGUAACGGCUCACCAAGGCGACGAUGCGUAGCCGACCUGAGAGGGUGAUCGGCCACAUUGGGACUGAGACACGGCCCAGACUCCUACGGGAGGCAGCAGUGGGGAAUAUUGCACAAUGGGGGAAACCCUGAUGCAGCCAACGCCGCGUGAGUGAUGACGGCCUUCGGGUUGUAAAGCUCUGUCUUCAGGGACGAUAAUGACGGUACCUGAGGAGGAAGCCACGGCUAACUACGUGCCAGCAGCAGC
Molecule: ribosomal RNA, 465 nt
Filed under: uncultured bacterium
Lineage: Bacteria
Description: bacterial SSU rRNA
Rfam family: Bacterial small subunit ribosomal RNA
Source: RNAcentral